RNAcentral lists this long non-coding RNA (5044 nucleotides) under Equus asinus (donkey). Its description in RNAcentral is "lncRNA (ENSEASG00005025899.1)". The record is from RNAcentral. Lineage: Eukaryota; Metazoa; Chordata; Mammalia; Perissodactyla; Equidae.
GUGCUUCCCGUUUUACCUCUUAACUUCACGAGAAUCCAUGUGAAUGCACUGUUUGUGUAUAGCCUCUUUUGUUCCACAUUGCAUUCAAGUUUUUGGGUCACUGUAGCUCAUUCCUUUUCGUUGCACUACACUUGUGUUUCUCUGCGUGGACCUGUCACAAUUUAACAUCCGUCGUAUGAUCUGUGAACACAGGGUGCUUUUCUUUUGGAAUACUAUGAAGAGAGCUCCUGUGACCAUUAUUGUCCAGGAACAUGAUGCAAAUAAGCAGAAGUUUCUCAGGUAUUUGCCUAAGAGUGCAAUAGCUAAGUUAUAGGGUACUUGAGACUUCAAUUUAGCCAGAAAAUAAAAGUACUAUUUCCAAGUGGCGUGCCGGUUUACAUUUCUAAAAAGUUGAUGAGCGUUUCCACUGUUCCACAGGAGUACGUGGAAUUUUCAGUCUUAUAUAGCCAAUCUUGUGGGUGGGUAUGAUGUCUCUUGGUGGCUGUACAGUCUGCGUUUCUCGGAAUGCUGAUGAGGUUGAACACCUUCACAAAUGUUUUUUGACCCAUCCUUUACAUUUUGACUCCCCUAAAAUGAGCUCUCCUCCCCACCCAUCUGUCCCAACUGCUCUACUCCGGGAUAACAGUGAAUGACUCUCCAUUGUCAAAUCAAACGAUUGACGCUCAGUGCUCACCUGUGGACCCAUCAGCAACAUUUCAAAGAUAAUCGGUGCGUUCCCAUUUGCCUUUUGGAAGGAUCACUCUGCCUGCUGGGUGGAAAAUAGGCUGCUGGGGAAGCCAGGGUGGAAGCAGGGAGCCCAGUUAAAGACUUCUGCGGUUGUCUAGGAGGGAGCUGAUGGUGACUUGGAGUGCAUUGGAGAGUUGGGGGUGGUGAUAAGAGGUCACAUUCUGGAUAUAUGUGGAAGGUAGAGCCAAGGGAAUCUGCGGACGGACUGGAUUUGGAGUGUAAAUCUCUCCUAGAAACACUGUCUUCUCUUGGUUUUCAGGACAACAUUCUCUCUUGGUGGUACCCCUACCACACCGGCCAGUCUUUCUCCCACUUCUUUUCUGAAUCCUCCUCAUCUUAUCCACAGCUACACAUGGGACGCCCUGGAAGUAAGUCCUCACCCAGUCCUGGGAUCUCUUCCUUUCUCUAGCUCUACUCGGAGUGCUCCUGAGGGCAGUGUCACCCAGUCCCGUGGCUUGGAAUAUCAUCUGUACACGGACAACUGUCAGAUGUACAUCUCUGCUGAUUUCUCUCCUGAGUUCCAGACUCAGUCAUCUUGCUGCCUAGCUGACAUGCCCACUUGGGUGUUUAAUGGGCGUCUCUAACUAAAGGUGUCUGAGGCCUGCGCGCGCUCUCUCUCUGUCUCUCUCUGUCUCUGUCUCACUCUGUCUCUCUCUCUCUUUCUCUCAUACUCUACGUCUGCUCCAUCAGCAGAUCCUUUCAGCUCUACCUCACAUUAUACCCAGACUCCAGCCUCCUCUCACCACCGCCACUUCAGCCACCUUCCUGAAAGCUGCCAACAUCACCCACUUGGCAAAUCACAAGAGUCUCUAAGGGUCCUCUGCUUCUGCGGUUGCCCAGUGCCCUGCACCUGCCUGUUCCUUGUUGACAUGGCAGAUGGAGUGAUCCUUCAGUGCUUCUCAGUUCCGGCCCCUCCUUUGCUAAAACCCUUCCAUGCUUCCCAUCUCCACUGACACAAAAGCAUCGUUCCUUACCAAGUCUUCACGUGACCUGUCUCCAGCCACAGCCCUCGACCACUGCUCUCCGCGAUGCUCCCUCUGUCCAGACAUGCUGACCUCCUUGCUGUGCUUCAAACAUGCCAAGCGAGCUCCUGUCUCAGGACCUUUUCACUUAGAGGUCCCUCUGCUUGGCUUGCCCUUCCCCUGAUACCUGCAGUGCUUCUUCCUCACUUUCUCCAUGUCCCUCAGAUGCCGCCUUAUCAGACAGAACUUCUCUGACCACGGCUUAAAAUAGCACUCCACCCUCACAUCACUCCCGUUCCCCGGGCACUGCUUCAUUUUGUUCCAUCGCACAUAUUCCAACCUGGCACAUCGUAUACUUAUCUGUUGACUGAUGUCAGGUUUGUAAUUUUUUAAACGUUCAUGGGAUCAGAGACUUUGUCUCAUUUACUAUCAUUUCCACGGUACUAGAACAGUUCUUAGGUAAAGACUCAACCGAGGUGGAAUGAAUGAACGAAUGAGUGAGUGAAUAGAGAGGGGUAACCUGUAUCGGUCCCUUAGUAAACUCAGACUUCUGUAGAAAGCAUCCAGCUUGGACAGCAAGGCCUGGAAUGUGGAAGUUGGCCCGCCCUGAGCCACCUGCACAUUAAGGAUUGAAGAUACGGUGGGGAGAGGGAGAAAGCUAGAAUGCCUGAUUCAGGAUCCAGGAAGCAGGAUUGCUUUUAAUGCCACCGUGGUCUUGGGUGGGGCUCUGAGGAAAAGAAUAAAGUCCCUACCAGUCUUACCCCUAACUGGGCCCAAGGCACACAUCAACCAAAUCUUGCUACUCACCCCAGAGAUUUAUAAUUUACUAGGGGAAAUAGAAUGUGUUUGCAAAUGACUGUAUGUCAGGUCAGAAUGCCGUGGAUAUAAAGGAAAUUCAGUAUUAUGACUUGAUAAUGGAUAAAUCUUGUCGUUGCUGAACAACGUACAGUGAAUAAUACAAUCUUACAUCCAUCAUCGCAUUUUAUUUUAGAUCUUCUCGGCAUUUAUUUGAGCGCCCGCUGCACGCCAAGCGCUGCGCUAGGUAGCAGCACACACGUGCCCUAAUUUAAUCUCUCAGCCACUCUGUGAGAGGCAUCCUUUGUGCGAUCGUCUUACUAGGGAGGAAUCCCAGGCCCGAGGAAGUGAAGUUCCAUGUCUAAGACCAGUCAGCCAGAAUGUAACACCCGAGACUUAGGGACAUGGACUAUGAAAGCCCCCUCAAUCAGAGAAAAGGUGACUUUCUUCUUUUGAAAAAAGGUGCUCUUUUGCUCAGAAAAUUCUUCCCGGUAGGAUUCGUCAGGCUAGAAGGACGCAGGACUCAAAGCUUACGCGGCACUCACGCUCUUAGCAUCCGAGGAGAAGACAAGAGCUCUCACAGUGCCUAUGGGAUACGUUCUGAGAAAUGUUCCGAUAGGCGACUUCGUUGUUGUGUGAACAUCACAGAGCGUACUCACGCAAUCCUAGAUGGCAUGGCCUACUACACACCCAGGCUAUAUGGGACUCAUCUUAGGGCACCAGCAUCGUAUAUGCGGUCCGUCAUUGACCAAAACGUCGUUUUGCGGCACAUGGCUGUGUUUGGAUUGGUUAUAAAAACAGCUAGUCUGACAGUAAAGAUGACUAAAAAUCGUAUCUGUCCUGGAAAAUCCGCGAAAAAGCUCACAGGUUCUGUUUUUAGGUGCAUCGUUAUAUAAAACGUAAAUACUUCAAUGCAGACUCUCAGUAGUUGGGGGAUUUGAUUCGAUGUACUGAUACCAUUUUGUUGCAACAGUUUUAGUUUUCCUAUGAGGAGAUUCCCGCCUGUGAGCUUUCCUUAAAUCGUGACACAUCAGUUACCUCAAAGUUGGGGUCCGUUCUCAUUUUCAAAGAGCAAGGAAUUAAUUGGUGGGCUUUUCGUUAUUUGGCAUAUUUAUUUGCAUUUCUUUAUUUUUCUAGUGACCUAAUGUAUCCACGGAACUAUAAAGGAUGGCUUUGGGUGGAUCUGGGGUCAGGGGAGGGCAUGAGGGAGAGCCUUUUCUCCUGUUCCCGGGCACUGACACUAUGCCUUUUAAAUUUCUAUUUUCCAUGUGAAAUUGUCUGCACUAACACCCAGCUCGUGAUUAUUAGGUGACUGAAAAUGCGUUACUGGAAGAAAUGCUGUGGUUUCGGAGUUUAUUCCCUUUGUCUCUUACAAGGUUUUCUUUCCGUUUCUUCAUGAAUGCAUGGGUACCUCCAGAAUUUGAGAUUCUGAGAACAUGUUCCACGAGUAAACACCUUUCUCACUCUCAAAGCGCCAACUGGAAAUUUCACUCAACGACAAGGAUGCAUAUAUGCCCCCUCUUCUAUAGAAAACAACCACUUGAUGGUCUGUUUCAGACUGACUCUCCUGUAUUUACAAAAAUAUUUUCUAACUGUGAGAAGAGUCACUACGUCUUUGUCAUUCACAAAUUGAUCCAACACUUUCGUUAUCCUCGUAUAUUUCAUCCCGGCAUAAUCUCUUUAUCCGAGCUGCAGAGGAGAGAGUGCAAUUUGACUCCAAAUUAUGAGGACAGUCCCCAAAACACUCCUACGUGGACCAGAAAAGAUGGCAGGCUAGAGACAUCCAAAGAAAGCGAGGACCGAUCCGAGUCUCCCAGGGAGGGGCAUGACCUCUGGACUCCAGGAGCGCUAAUAUUGGCAGCAUCCAAACGUCCUUAAAGAAGGCCAUUAAGUUAGCUAAGCACAUUUACCUGGAACUUAAAUCGUGAUUCCCUUAUAUUUGGUAAGUUGUUAAGACUACGUGAUGCCAAUGAGCUUUUAUUAUAGUCACCAUCAGCAUGUGCAGUUAGGAAGGCUGCCCCGUCUGUUCUCCACUGAAGUGCUUCUCAGCAGAAAUCCUCCACACCUUCUUCAAAAGUCUCUAAUGACAAGUUUACGUUUGGAGGCCUUCAGUCACCCACUUUCACCCUCUUUCUCAAAGCUCUCAGUUGACUGCCAACUAACGGUGUGUUUUCGCCAUGAAUCUUGAUCUUCUGGCAUGGGACAUUCUGAGAUUUGGUUACCAGCAAAUCUUGUGGCCUGGAAAGUUACAUAACUGAAGGCUUGAUUUUGGAUUUUGCUCUGAAGUUUAGUUUGUGUUCCACCCACAGUAAUUAACAUAACCCUCUUGAAAGCGGAAACCAGGUCUGUCUUAGCCUCUUUGGUUUGUCCUCUUUUGCUUACAUAGGGUGGGCAGUUAGAAGAGGGACUCAGCGAAUGUAUAGUCAGGGAUUCAUGCUCAGGAACUUCCCUGAGACUCAGAACACUCCACCUGUAACAACACCGCACCUGAGCAAGGUUUUGGUUGUGCCAUGCCUCGGGACAAGCAGGUAGCAUCCAUAGAAGCUCCCCUCCUACGUUUC